UUCUUAUCAAGAGAGAUUGAGGGACAGGCCCUAAGACAUCUCGGCAACAGGUUCAAGCGAUUGGAUACUGUGCUAAUUCCUGCAAAUGCAGCGUGCAUUUGAAAGAUGAGAA
Molecule: non-coding RNA, 112 nt
Filed under: Sporosarcina sp.
Lineage: Bacteria; Bacillati; Bacillota; Bacilli; Caryophanales; Caryophanaceae
Also listed under: 1 other name
Description: SAM-I sequence
Rfam family: SAM riboswitch aptamer (S box leader)
About the family: The SAM riboswitch is found upstream of a number of genes which code for proteins involved in methionine or cysteine biosynthesis in Gram-positive bacteria. The SAM riboswitch acts at the level of transcription termination control. The predicted structure consists of a complex stem-loop region followed by a single stem loop terminator region.
Source: RNAcentral